RNAcentral lists this ribosomal RNA (273 nucleotides) under uncultured bacterium. RNAcentral describes it as "partial 16S ribosomal RNA". It matches the Rfam family "Bacterial small subunit ribosomal RNA", at positions 524 to 796 of the family's 1533-position model. The record is from RNAcentral.
UACGAAGGGGGCUAGCGUUGUUCGGAAUCACUGGGCGUAAAGCGCACGUAGGCUGACUGGUCAGUUGGGGGUGAAAUCCCGGGGCUCAACCCCGGAACUGCCUUCAAUACUGCCAGUCUUGAGUCCGAGAGAGGUGAGUGGAAUUCCUAGUGUAGAGGUGAAAUUCGUAGAUAUUAGGAAGAACACCAGUGGCGAAGGCGGCUCACUGGCUCGGUACUGACGCUGAGGUGCGAAAGCGUGGGGAGCAAACAGGAUUAGAUACCCGGGUAGUCC